RNAcentral lists this small nucleolar RNA (137 nucleotides) under Setaria italica (foxtail millet). RNAcentral's name for it is "Small nucleolar RNA F1/F2/snoR5a". It matches the Rfam family "Small nucleolar RNA F1/F2/snoR5a". From Rfam's summary of the family: This family contains F1, F2 and snoR5a sequences, all of which are members of the the H/ACA class of snoRNA that guide the sites of modification of uridines to pseudouridines. Lineage: Eukaryota; Viridiplantae; Streptophyta; Magnoliopsida; Poales; Poaceae. The record is from Rfam by way of RNAcentral.
CAAUGCCAUUUGGUAUCUGAUGCACAGUCUUUUUUGGCUGUGUGUCUCGAAACGUGGCAAAAAACUAGGGGGAACGGAUCUUGCGACACUGGUCACUCAUUUAUGAGCUUCCAGUUACUAUAUGCCCGUUUACAUUA